This 89-nucleotide transfer RNA is filed under the name Solirubrobacteraceae bacterium. RNAcentral's name for it is "tRNA-Ser". It matches the Rfam family "tRNA". Rfam says of the family: Transfer RNA (tRNA) molecules are approximately 80 nucleotides in length. The record is from RNAcentral. RNAcentral also lists the same sequence under 3 other names. Lineage: Bacteria; Bacillati; Actinomycetota; Thermoleophilia; Solirubrobacterales; Solirubrobacteraceae.
GGAGAGGUGGCCGAGUGGCUGAAGGCACUCGCCUGCUAAGCGAGUAGGGGGUUCACGCUCCCUCGCGGGUUCGAAUCCCGCCCUCUCCG